RNAcentral lists this microRNA precursor (102 nucleotides) under Marmota monax (woodchuck). The record is from RNAcentral. Lineage: Eukaryota; Metazoa; Chordata; Mammalia; Rodentia; Sciuridae.
AGUGGAAUAACUGGAUCAAAUGGUGAUUCCAUUCAAGUUUUCUGAGAAAUCUCCAUAAUGCUUUCCAGAGUGGUUGUACCAAUUUUCACUCCAACCAGCAAU